Molecule: long non-coding RNA, 170 nt
Organism: Rhagoletis zephyria (snowberry fruit fly)
Lineage: Eukaryota; Metazoa; Arthropoda; Insecta; Diptera; Tephritidae
Source: RefSeq, a predicted model, not a curated record
UUUUAAAACUAUCCGCCUUCACGAAAACGCUUAUUGCACGAGAACUAGUGAAGCGAUUUCAAAGAAAAGUGUGGGGUUUCAAAGAUAAAACUCCAAACCUAUCCAUAGAUUCAUUUUUGUAAGUAACCAAUUCGGUUUCUUUCGUAGAAACAACGGUAAAUAUUGGCUUA